This 1498-nucleotide ribosomal RNA is filed under the name Streptomyces cerradoensis. RNAcentral describes it as "partial 16S ribosomal RNA". It matches the Rfam family "Bacterial small subunit ribosomal RNA". Lineage: Bacteria; Bacillati; Actinomycetota; Actinomycetes; Kitasatosporales; Streptomycetaceae. The record is from RNAcentral.
GGCGGCGUGCUUAACACAUGCAAGUCGAACGAUGAAGCCCUUCGGGGUGGAUUAGUGGCGAACGGGUGAGUAACACGUGGGCAAUCUGCCCUGCACUCUGGGACAAGCCCUGGAAACGGGGUCUAAUACCGGAUACGAGCCUCCCGGGCAUCUGGGAGGUUGGAAAGCUCCGGCGGUGCAGGAUGAGCCCGCGGCCUAUCAGCUUGUUGGUGAGGUAACGGCUCACCAAGGCGACGACGGGUAGCCGGCCUGAGAGGGCGACCGGCCACACUGGGACUGAGACACGGCCCAGACUCCUACGGGAGGCAGCAGUGGGGAAUAUUGCACAAUGGGCGAAAGCCUGAUGCAGCGACGCCGCGUGAGGGAUGACGGCCUUCGGGUUGUAAACCUCUUUCAGCAGGGAAGAAGCGAAAGUGACGGGUACCUCCGAGAAGAAGCCCCGCCUAACUACGUGCCACCAGCCGCGGGUAAUACGUUAGGGCGCCAAGCGUUGCUCCGGAAUAUACUUGGGCGUUAAAGAGUCUUCGAUAGCCAGCGCAUUGUUCAGCGUUCGAGUUGUGAAAGCCACGGGGCUUAACCUCCGGUUCUCCAGUCGAUACGGCCAGGCUAGAGCUGUGUUAGGGGAGAUCGGAAUUCCUGGUGUACCGGUGAAAUGCGCAGAUAUCAGGAGGAACACCGGUGGCGAAGCCGGAUCUCUGGCCCAGUUACUGACGUCUGAGGAGCAGAAAGCGUGGGGAGCGAACAGGAUUAGAUACCCUCCGCAGCUAACGCAUUAAGUGCCCCGCCUGGGGAGUACGGCCGCAAGGCUAAAACUCAAAGGAAUUGACCGGGGCCCGCACAAGCGGCGGAGCAUGUGGCUUAAUUCGACGCAACGCGAAGAACCUUACGUAGUCCACGCCGUAAACGGUGAUUCGACGCAACGCGAAGAACUUACCAAGGUCUGACAUACACGGAAACAUCCAGAGAUGGGUGCCCCCUUGUGGUCGGUGUACAGGUGGUGCAUGGCUGUCGUCAGCUCGUGUCGUGAGAUGUUGGGUUAAGUCCCGCAACGAGCGCAACCCUUGUCCCGUGUUGCCAGCAGGCCCUUGUGGUGCUGGGGACUCACGGGAGACCGCCGGGGUCAACUCGGAGGAAGGUGGGGACGACGUCAAGUCAUCAUGCCCCUUAUGUCUUGGGCUGCACACGUGCUACAAUGGCCGGUACAAUGAGCUGCGAUACCGUGAGGUGGAGCGAAUCUCAAAAAGCCGGUCUCAGUUCGGAUUGGGGUCUGCAACUCGACCCCAUGAAGUCGGAGUCGCUAGUAAUCGCAGAUCAGCAUUGCUGCGGUGAAUACGUUCCCGGGCCUUGUACACACCGCCCGUCACGUCACGAAAGUCGGUAACACCCGAAGCCGGUGGCCCAACCCCUCGGGGAGGGAGCUGUCGAAGGUGGGACUGGCGAUUGGGACGAAGUCGUAACAAGGUAGCCGUACCGGAAGGUGCGGCUGGAUCACCUCCUU